GAUGAAGAACGCAGCGAAAUGCGAUAAGUAAUGUGAAUUGCAGAAUUCAGUGAAUCAUCGAAUCUUUGAACGCACAUUGCGCCCGCCAGUAUUCUGGCGGGCAUGCCUGUCCGAGCGUCAUUUCAACCCUCGAACCCCUCCGGGGGGUCGGCGUUGGGGAUCGGGAACCCCUAAGACGGGAUCCCGGCCCCGAAAUACAGUGGCGGUCUCGCCGCAGCCUCUCCUGCGCAGUAGUUGCACAACUCGCACCGGGAGCGCGGCGCGUCCACGUCCGUAAAACACCCAACUUCUGAAAUGUUGACCUCGGAUCAGGUAGGAAUACCCGCUGAACUUAAGCAUAUCAAUAAGCGGAGGA
Molecule: unclassified non-coding RNA, 355 nt
Filed under: soil metagenome
Description: partial contains 5.8S ribosomal RNA, internal transcribed spacer 2, and large subunit ribosomal RNA
Rfam family: 5.8S ribosomal RNA (bases 1-120)
Source: RNAcentral